Molecule: ribosomal RNA, 113 nt
Filed under: Acanthosepion pharaonis
Lineage: Eukaryota; Metazoa; Mollusca; Cephalopoda; Sepiida; Sepiidae
Source: RNAcentral
UUACGGCCAUAUCAGGUUAAAACACUGGUACUCAUACAAUCACCAAAGUUAAGCAAUGUUGAAACUGGUUAGUACCUAGAUGGGUGACCACUUGGGAAUACCACAUGCUGUAA